Molecule: ribosomal RNA, 456 nt
Filed under: uncultured bacterium
Lineage: Bacteria
Description: bacterial SSU rRNA
Rfam family: Bacterial small subunit ribosomal RNA
Source: RNAcentral
GAUGAAUGCUGGCGGCGUGCCUAAUACAUGCAAGUCGAGCGGUAAGGCCCUUCGGGUACACGAGCGGCGGACGGCUGAGUAACGCGUGGGAACAUGCCCCAAAGUGAGGGAUAACGCACCGAAAGGUGUGCUAAUACCGCAUAUGGUCUUCGGAUUAAAGGAUUUAUCCGCUUUGGGAGUGGCCCGCGUACGAUUAGAUUGUUGGUGAGGUAACGGCUCACCAAGUCGACGAUCGUUAACUGGUCUGAGAGGAUGAUCAGUCAGACUGGAACUGAGACACGGUCCAGACUCCUACGGGAGGCAGCAGUAAGGAAUCUUCCACAAUGGGCGAAAGCCUGAUGGAGCAAACGCCGCGUGCAGGAUGAAGGCCCUCGGGUCGUAAACUGCUUUAUGAGUGAAGAAUAUGACGGUAACUCAUGAAUAAGCACCGGCUAACUACGUGCCAGCAGCCGCGGU